AAUCGCGCAUCAGCCACGGCGCGGUGAAUACGUUCCCGGGCCUUGUACACACCGCCCGUCAAGCCAUGGAAGCCGGGAGUGCCUGAAGUGCGUGACCGCAAGGAGCGUCCUAAGGCAAUACCGGUGACUGGGGCUAAGUCGUAACAAGGUACC
Molecule: ribosomal RNA, 153 nt
Filed under: uncultured bacterium
Lineage: Bacteria
Description: partial 16S ribosomal RNA
Rfam family: Bacterial small subunit ribosomal RNA
Source: RNAcentral